Molecule: ribosomal RNA, 500 nt
Filed under: uncultured bacterium
Lineage: Bacteria
Description: partial 16S ribosomal RNA
Rfam family: Bacterial small subunit ribosomal RNA
Source: RNAcentral
AUUGAACGCUGGCGGAAUGCUUUACACAUGCAAGUCGAACGGCAGCACGGACUUCGGUCUGGUGGCGAGUGGCGAACGGGUGAGUAAUGUAUCGGAACGUGCCCAGUCGUGGGGGAUAACGUAGUGAAAAUUACGCUAAUACCGCAUACGAUCUAUGGAUGAAAGCGGGGGAUCGCAAGACAUCGCGCGAUUGGAGCGGCCGAUAUCAGAUUAGGUAGUUGGUGGGGUAAAGGACCACCAAGCCAACGAUCUGUAGCUGGUCUGAGAGGACGACCAGCCACACUUGAACUGAGACACGGUCCAGACUCCUACGGGAGGCAGCAGUGGGGAAUUUUGGACAAUGGGCGAAAGCCUGAUCCAGCCAUUCCGCGUGCAGGAUGAAGGCCCUCGGGUUGUAAACUGCUUUUGUACAGAACGAAAAGGUUUCUACUAAUACUAGGAGCUCAUGACGGUACUGUAAGAAUAAGCACCGGCUAACUACGUGCCAGCCGCCGCCGUAA